This is a non-coding RNA of Prunus avium (sweet cherry), 728 nucleotides long. NCBI's taxonomy places the organism in Eukaryota, Viridiplantae, Streptophyta, Magnoliopsida, Rosales, Rosaceae. The record is from RefSeq and is a predicted model, not a curated record.
CGGUGGAGCUGGUGGAGGAGGAGGUGGCGGAGUUGGUGGUGGUUCAGGGCAUGGUGGAGGUUUCGGAGCUGGAGGUGGUGUAGGUGGUGGCGUUGGAGGAGGUGGUGGUCUUGGAGGUGGCGGUGGUGGUGGUUCGGGAGGAGGCGGUGGUCUUGGUGGAGGCGCAGGCCACGGAGGCGGGUUUGGUGCUGGUGGUGGUGUAGGAGGUGGAGCUGGGGGAGGUGUUGGUGGUGGAGGAGGUGCAGGAGGAGGUGGUGGUGGCCGAGUCGGUGGAGGUUCAGGCCAUGGUGGCGGAUUUGGUGCAGGUGGUGGUGUAGGAGGUGGAGCUGGCGGAGGGAUUGGAGGUGGAGGAGGUGCAGGAGGAGGAGGUGGUGGUGGUGUAGGUGGAGGUGGAGGUUCAGGCCAUGGAAGCGGUUUUGGUGCAGGUGGUGGUGUAGGAGGUGGUGGCGGUCACGGUGGAGGAUUCGGAAUUGGAAUUGGGAUUGGCAUUGGAGUGGGAGCUGGCACGGGUAGCGGCCAAGGGUCUGGAAGUGGGUCUGGUGGAGGUGGUGGAAAUUAAAACCAUUUACCUUAUAAGCAGCUUCUGCCUUGUGCAUGGCUGAACUAAAUAUUAUAUGAGUUCUCAGAUUGUAAUUUCUGAAGAUUGUAGGUCCAAUUUUUAUAAGCUACGCAAUUAAGCUAAUUUUCCCAGAAAACUAUGGAAUUAAGGGCGCAUUGAGGUUCCUUAA